Molecule: ribosomal RNA, 253 nt
Filed under: uncultured bacterium
Lineage: Bacteria
Description: partial 16S ribosomal RNA
Rfam family: Bacterial small subunit ribosomal RNA
Source: RNAcentral
UACGUAGGUGGCAAGCGUUGUCCGGAUUUACUGGGCGUAAAGAGCGCGCAGGCGGUCUUGCAAGUCGCGUGUGAAAGCCCCCGGCUCAACUGGGGAGGGUCACGCGAUACUGCUCGACUCGAAGGCAGGAGAGGGAAGUGGAAUUCCCGGUGUAGUGGUGAAAUGCGUAGAUAUCGUCCAGAACACCGAUAGCGAAGGCAGCUUACUAAGGAGUAACUGACGCUGAGGCACGAAAGUGUGGGGAUCAAACAGG